Molecule: long non-coding RNA, 1037 nt
Filed under: Oryctolagus cuniculus (rabbit)
Lineage: Eukaryota; Metazoa; Chordata; Mammalia; Lagomorpha; Leporidae
Description: lncRNA (ENSOCUG00000038730.1)
Source: RNAcentral
AUGCAUAUCAUCAGUGCUAUUGUUGCAUCGAUUGGUGUGCUUUUAAUUUCGCUUGAGAUUUUGGCAGUUAGUUUAACUCCAGGAGAUUUUAUUUGGGUUCAUAAAAGUGCUAAACUCCUUUCAGAGUAUUUGUUGUUAUUCAGCCUCUUGGAAUUGCUUGUGGCAAUUACAGUGACACGCUGGGCAAAACAAGCAAAAAGAAGAUAAAAAUUCAGUGAGUAUCUCACAUCUCCCUUGGUGAAUCAGAAGCUAAUGAUUUCUUUUAUGAACCCUAUUUGAUAGGAAUUACACAUAAAUAGGGUCAUCACUAAAGUGUGAUUAUAAGUAACUGAAAACACUGUACUUACUAUCACAUGCUAUGUGAGUCUCUGUACAGUUGAAGACAAUCUCUAGCUCAUGUCUGCUUAAUUCAACAGAUAAUUUCUUGGAAACAAAAAAGCUUUGUAGAAGUCAUUACCAGGUAAAAGGAUAUGGACACACAUGUUAAACCAUAAAUUUUCAAAAUUUGGGAGAAAGAAUUUUAAAAUAUCAAAAUGUAGAACUUUAGUGUCUUCAGAAACCAAGAUUUUGUAGUAACUGGGAAGUUGGAAAGAUGGCAAAAACCUUUUCCAAUCAGUUCAUUUCCUACUUCCACCACAUCUACUACCUAAUGUCUGAUGGCAAAUUUUAUCUCUAAUUUACCUCAAUGUCAAUGAAUCAGAAAGCUUUGGUGAAAGAUAUCUCUGUCCUUUCUUCCCAGUCUGGCUGCAGAGGCCCAGGUUUAUAAUCAUAAGGCUGAUGUGAAGGAGAGUGUUGUUUGUCCAUUUGUCGUGUAGCAGAUAGAACAGGCUAGAAAUGGAAAGGGCUGCUCCUUCCUCAUGUUACACUUCCUUAUCUCACAAAUCUGCCGACUUCUUACAUGGGCCUUUACAUCUUUAAGCAGAUGAUAUUCUUCCCCUUGACUUGUCCAACUUUAGCUUCUCUAUGGACAACACCAUGUAUGUCUGUCUACAGCUUAGUUAACCAUCUAUAAAUUUACAACAGUCUUAAUGCUCAGU